This is an RNA transcript of Brassica rapa (field mustard), 19521 nucleotides long. It is a transcript of the gene named putative purine permease 20, with no coding region annotated. Lineage: Eukaryota; Viridiplantae; Streptophyta; Magnoliopsida; Brassicales; Brassicaceae. The record is from RefSeq and is a predicted model, not a curated record.
CGAUCGAUGGUAAGUGAUUAUGAUCGAUCGAUGUUGCUCUUCAAGCGUCGAUCGAUUUUCCUUGCGUAAAAGCAUUCCAAAAUGUCCCAACAGUAUUAUUUCCUUCCAUCAGGUGAAUAAACCUGUAUUUGCUUUGAAAAGACUCUAAAACAUGAUUAAUACAUCAUAAAACCUUUAUAGACCAUGUAUAAAAACGGGUGAAAAUCAUGGUAUAUCACUAGUCCUGCCCUAGCCCUUAUUGUCUUUGUGUUUCCGUUGAUUGUUUCAUAUGAUCUUUUUUUACUUUGUCAAGGUUGUCGAAUUGAUUUCAAAUUUAAUUUACGAGAAUCAUUUCGCAAAUGUUGUCAAAUUUAUUUUACGAAAUUUGUAUCAUAAAAUACUACCUCGUUUCACUCUACGAAUGAAGUUCCGUAAAAUAUUGCCGAGUUUAAGUUUACGAAAGAUGUUUCGUAAGAUGUUUGCCGGGUCUAACGAAAGUUGUUUCGUAUAAUGUAUUCAAGUUUAUUUUGACGAAAGUUGUUUCAUGAAAUGUUGUCGAGCAUAAUUUUACAAAGGUUAUUCCGCAAAAUGUUAUCGAGUUAAUUUGGCAAAAACUGUCUCGUCAAAUGUUGUCGAGUUUAAUUUAAAAAAAUUUGUUUCGUAAAAUGCCGCCGAGUUUGAUUUAGUGAAAUCUGCCUCGUAAAAUGUUGUCGAGUUUGGCUGUACGACAGCCGUUUUCGGAGAAACUCAUGUUUUGCGGUUUGUUCCGCAAAUUUAGGUUCAUGGGUUUUAGUAUAAGAAACUCUGGCGGUGAUGAGCUUAAUUAUCGAGACUAAACUUAGGGCCCGACUGGUUCAAACGCAGCGGUUUCGUUAGUUUGCGGAUGCAUGUGUUUGCGGUUUCUAGCGGUUUUAAGAGAUUUGUACGACUAGUUCUACAUUUAUAAUUUGAUGCCUUUGCGGGAUACUUAUGACUUGUUAACUUCCAAAUGCAGCAGAGGUUAAAUAAUAAAUUAACAAUAUUUACAUUUUAUAAAAUAUCAAAAAACAUAAUACUAUAAUAAAUAUAAAAAUUUUAUUUAGAAAGUUAUAGUUUUAAAUUUUUAAAAAUUAUAGAAAAUAUAUAUUUUUUAAAAAUUUUAUAAUAUUAAUUAAAAUAUAAUCGAUAUAUUUUAGUAUUUUUAUAAUUCCAAUUUAAUUUUUUAAUGCAUAUUUUUAUUUUUGUAUUUAUAUAUUGUUUUUUUCAAAAGAAAAAAAAUUAUCCUCCCACAACUGCCCGCAACCACAAACGCUAGCUGAAACCAGCUUUUGAAUUUAUGAGGUUUAGAUCGGUUUGAAGCGGUUUAGAGCGUUUUGAGUAAUUGUUGCAAAACGCCAACAACCGCUACCAACCGCAAAAGCUGUGUUUGCGGGUGGUAGCGGAGAAACAAGUCAUACCCUUAAUCAGAAAUUUUUUCGCUUCCGCAUGAUUGAUCCGAGGGAGUUUUGAGUAGUGUUUCCAAAGUAAGCUUAGGUGUUCAUUAUCGAGAAUUCUGUGAAUAUGUUACUAUAAAACCGAUGCUUGAAUUUUUAGGAAAUCUUAGGUCUCAGAAAACGUUUUAGCAGUGAGGGAUAUGAUCUCUCGUUUUGCUUAGUUCAGUCUUCAUGAACCGUUUCAGGUUUCCAAUGAUUCAAUAGAAAUCAACUUCGUUUAUCUGCAGGUUAUUCAGAAGAAGUAUGGCAGUGGGGGAUUAGGAAUCCGAUUUGCCGUGCUUUUAUUUCCGUGAGUAAUGUAGAGUUUCUCCGCAGUUUUAGUGAGAUCAAGUUUAUUUUUUGAAAGGUUUUCGGAAAACAUUUUUGAUCAAACCCUUACUUGUUGAGACUUCUCCAUCUCGGUAAUGAAACAAAUUAUACAGAGAAAUCGCGAUCUCAGUUUCGUACUCUUCCAUUGGAGAAAAGUCGCGACUAGGUUUUUGGUUUUCUCGAGUUCUACGGCAUUUGUGUAAGCGUUGGCCAUAGGAGCAGUCGCUGCUGGAGUUUUUUACCAGUGUGUUUGCGAGCUGCGAGUUUGUUUUUCAUAUUUCCAGACUUGUUUUUGAUCAAGCAUUUUGCGGCCGUAAGAGUAAGAGUAAUCCCCCCCCCCCCUCCCCUCCUUCUAGCGCCAAACUGUGGGAACCAAAAUUCACACCGUAGAUUUUUGUUAACGAAUGAAAGCAAAGAAACCCGUACUUUCCAUGAGAUCCGGAUUCUCUGCGAGAUCCUACGACAAGUGACCAAAUGAAUGCGGAAAAAUAUGGAAAGAUAACAAAACAAAUUUAAAAAAAAAUGGAUGUUUAUUUCGAAUUUGCGUAUGAGCGUUCCAGAGACAAAAGCAUACAUGAAGAUUGUCUAGAAACGGGAUUACAAAGGAAAAUGUAUAACACAAACAGUAAAAGGAGACUAAGUUUGCUAGCAUUGCCACCUAUGCGGAGAAAAACCUAUGUGGACGCAACUCGCUUAGCAAUAAAAAGACGACAAAGAUUUAAAACAUUUCGGACUGCCUACGUACCCCCUUAGAGGAUCAAGCCGAACGUAGUUCAAUUAAGAGAGUGGAACAAAAGAUCGAGCUCCUGGGCGAGUUCAUCUAGUAAUCGAGUGCCAGUCAUAGAAACCGAACUUGUCAAAAAUAAAGCCUAAAGUUUUAAGUGCAGAGAGUUCUAUGAGUCAAAUAUUGUCUUGCGCCUAUCGCCUUGGCAUCCCUUAUAUACUCCUCCUAGGUCAGUUUUGGCUUUCAUUUUCCGCUUUUGGGUCGAAUUUCUCUUCUCGCGGAAAUAUUCCAUUUUUCUCAAUCUUCAUGAUUAUCCUUUGAAACUUGACAUUUAUCUUCGAAAGUUGACAUUUAUCUUUUCCUGUGAGUAAAAGAAAAACCGUCGUAGUAGUCUUGGGCUCAUUGUCGUCUAAAAUCACAAGUGGGCUUUUUAGCUGCGUUUUUAGACCUCUUUGGGCUGUUUUACGCCUUUAAGCGUUUUUACGAUUUCUUAGAGAAAUUGCCUUCGGUACGACGCUGGUUUUAUGAAAGAGUCUAAAUCAAUCGUAUAGUCAAGGCAGCGGGUAUUUUAAGUUAACAGUUGCCUUUUAUACGAUCGAUUCAAACAUAUACGAGAAAUCAAGUCUUUGCGGUUUUUAUCAUAAAGUUUCAACGGUAACUCCAAUUGAGACGAAACAAGAGACUGUGCGGUCACGGUUUGAAGGAGGGAGCUACGAGGAUGAGACGAGAAUGCAUGAUAUUGAUAUGAUACAGUCGUAGUUGGCGAGUUGGCAAGGAUCAACCCAACUCACCAUAUGGGGAGCUGGUUGAGAAGGACCGAGCUCGCCAUAUGGCGAGCUGAUCAGGAUAGACCGAGGUGGCGAGCUCGGUGGGGACAGGCUGAGCUCGCCAAAUGGCAAGCUGGUCAGGACAGGCCGAGCUCCCUAUAUGGCAAGCUGGUCGGGACAGGCCGAGCUCCCCAUAUGGCGAGCUGGUCGCGACAAGCCGAGUUCGCCAUAUAGCAUGGAUUUUACCCAUUUUUAGCCAUGUAUAUAGGUAUUUUUAAGUACCUUAUAGUUGUUUUGGAGUUUUUUUUAGUAUGAUUUCAUGUUUUGGAGUGAUUUGGAGGAAAGUGGUGAUUUUGGUGCAUUUUGGAGAGAAAAUGAAAAGGCCCGAAGUUGACCAUCGACCACGACUAUCGAUCGAUGGGGAAGGCAACAAUCGAUCGACACACACCUUGUGGUGUCGAUUGACGGCGAAGCGCGCAGAAGCCAGAUUGGGUUCCAGCCGACUUAAAUCUCAACUCCUACAAGAAUUACCAGAUUACCACUGACGAGUUUUAACCUAAUAUUUAUGUGCCCUGCCAUUGUUCUAGGCAUCGCACGCUUUCAUUCUUUUCUACUUUUUAUACCACAAAAUACUUGAGUCUUAGGUUUGGAGAGAAGAUCCAAGAACUCCUUCAGACCUUUAUGAUUGGAACUCCAAUUUCUUUACUCUAUUCUAUUUAUGCAAUUUACUUAUUCUAUUGUUAUGAAUUGUUUAGCCUUGUCUAAGUAGUUCACCUUGUUAGAUUUAGGGUUCAGACAUUCAUGAGGGAUUAGCCAAAAAUAUAGAAUUGUUAAGUGUCAGGAUAUUAAUCAACUAAACUAUUCCUAAUGCAUGUGUUCUAUAAUAGCUAACUAGGACUUCGCCAAUAGACAUUAGGGCGGAUUCAGAAGUUUGGUUAUUUGUCUGAAAUAGUUUAGGUUGUGCUAGGAUUGCUAGAAAGAAGUGGAAGCUGAUUUAGUUAACCUAGUGAACAUGUUUAAACCUGUUCGUAACGCUCCCUAGAAGGAACGUCGAUCGACAACUCGUUAGUUGUAUCGAUCGACGGGCUUAAAGGUGUAUCGAUCGACACCCCGUUGUUGGAAUCGAUCGACACUUUCUCAGGACCAACAAGCGACAUUUGAGGUCCUAGAUCCAGCGAUAGAUAGCCUAAAUAUACAGAAGUUGAUCGACUAUUCUUAUCGACGGAAGAGUAGUCUCGGUGUAUGAGGUGGAGUAUCGAUCGAUGUCGGGUGGGUAUGGGCGGUCGACGGAAUAGUAGUCUCGGUCGAUGGGGGAAGGCGAGUGUCGGUCGACGAACAUGUGCUUUUGUCGAUAAAUGUGGUACGUUUUUUCCUUUGCGGAUGGUACGUUCUAGUAGUGCAGGAUCUGAAAAGAGAAGUGUAUGUUCCUUGUUGCUUUUGUUAUUACUGGGGAUGCACCUGAAAAAUUUACCAGUUUUUUUUGCAAGUAACAAAAACCUAGACUAAACGUAACUAAGUUUGAUCUAAUGGAGAUCGAAACUCCCGGCAACGGCGCCAGAUGAUAUCUCUCAAAUUACCGUAAAGAGUGAUUUACUCUCUCAAAUAAGAGGUCCAAUUGUAGUACUUAGGGAUCGAAUUCACAGGUAGCUAAGACACACAAUAGAUCUUAUCCAUAUAUGCUCAGCAUUUUCUACAGAGGCAUCGCGCUAUCAUAUCAGAUGGCUCUGAACGCAGCCAGUGACGGGAACUUUCAGAUUAGGAGUCCAAAAGAGGCAGAUAGGCUUAUUGAGGACCUCACAGCAUGUAGUAAUAGAACGGAUUUCAAAAGAAGGGAAACAGCUGCUGCUCUCUGGGGAGAAGAGAUGGAUGCAGUGGAAGUUAAGAUGGAUAGUGUCUACAAACUCCUCACAAACCAGAACAGCCUUGGAAGGAAUGGAGGGACAUAAGAUACCAUAGGCUACAAGAAGGAUUUUAGACAUGUAGAUUUCAUUAAAUCAUUCAAAACCUCAUCUUAUCAGAAACCACCUCCGGACACUGAGGAGAGCAGAAUUGAAGUGAUACUUGAUCAGGUCCUUGAAAGCCAACAGAGGUUGAUGGUGAACUUCAUUGGAAAAAUAGAUGAUGUGUCUAUAAACCUGAGCUCAAAGAUCAAAACUCUGAAUGCAAGAUUGAAGAAGGUAGAAGUUGAGGUAAUCUUGACAUCGAACACUGUUAGGAAGCAUGAAACAUUCAUUCAGAGUAAAGGGGAUGACUCACUGAUGCACCACGUGAAUGCCAUCAUGGAUAAUGAUUUCUUGGAAGUGGUUAAGGAAGAGAAGCUUCAGGAGGGCGAUUUCUAAGUCAAAAGCUCCAUGAGAUUCGGCGGUUCACAUUGGUGUCGAUCAACGCCAAGCUUUGAGCAUCGACCAACGGAGACAAACGGACAUCGAUCGACAUCAGUUUCUCCACAUUGAUCGACAAAGGAAGUUGCAUCAUGCGCGACCGUCAGAAUCCUAACUCACGAGGAGUUCGCAGCUAAACACUCUCAUCAACCUAAUCUCUUAUGUAUCAAGAGGUCUGACAUUGAUCCACACCAGGAUCCAGCCACCGAUCGAUAGCCAGACUCAAACGACGACCGAAACAUCUCAUCAAGCAUCGAUCGACGACAACCUCUGACCUACUGAGUGCAAUUGCCAAAGAUAGAUGUAGCACACUUGAAUGCACUCAGAAACCCAUCUCAACCUUCAGAACAUAUGGCAGACAAUUUCGAACAGCUUUCAAAUGAUGCACCAGAGCCAAUGCAAGUUGAUCAGACUUCUGAGAGGAGAACCUUGAGGAAUAGAAAGGAAAAGGUUCCUAAGCAUCUCAAGCGAGGAAUCAAUUAGAAGGAGAUGGAUAGCUUCACUAAAAGAGUUCUCAGGAUACCCUUGGAGAAGCCAUUCCAGGAGGCUUACUUUACCCACAGGUUGUGGAUGUUCUUCAGGGAAGCCAAGGAAACUGAGUAGGAAAAACAUAGGAUCUUCGAUUAGACAGAGAGAAGAUGAAGCAUAUGAUUACACUGAAGAAGAAGAAUGUUUCUUGGAAAUUUGCAGUGCCAUGUUUGGUCAAGGGCAUUGAGUUUCCAUGUGCGCGGUGUGACGCAGGUUCAUCAGUCAAGAUACUACCCAAGGUAAUGGCAGACCAUCUGGGUCUGAAGAUAGAGCCUUUGCAGAAUUCAUUCACUUUCGUGGAUCAUUCUACGAGGAACUCAGGAGAUAUCAUCAGAGAUCUUGAGGUGCAGAUUGGUAAUGCACUAGUUUUGGUUGACUUCCAUGUCCUGGAAAACAAGCAAAACAAGAAUCAUUCUCUACUCCUUGGAUGAGCUUUCAUGGCCACUGUAAGAGCAGUCUGCAACAUGCAGACGAAUCAGAUGUGCUUUACACUGAUUUAUCCAGAUGUCUACAAUGAUCUAGUCAGAGUUGUGAGCCCACAGACGUCCAACACUGGAGUUAACACAUGAUUCAUUGCAGCAUGGCACUGCAACUAUGAGGAUGAAUACGAAACCGAGUAUUAAGGAUCGAUCGACAGCGAGAUUCCGCCAUCGAUCGACUUAGCCUUUCAUCCGCCAAUCAACGACAAGUCCAUAUAAUCGAUCGACAACAGUCCUGUGAUCUCACUCAAAUUACUCUAAGGAGUGAAUUACUUUCUCAAAUAAGAGGUUCAAUUGUAGUACUUAGGGAUCGAAUCCACAAGGAGCUACAGAACCUAAUAAAUCUAAUCAGAGUGAUUAAGCUAGGUUGAUUAUGUUUAAAUAUAAAUAAGCAGGUUGUGAGCAAGGCAGUUGCUCGAUUGAUUUGAUUGGGUUUUUGGUACUUAGAUUAAAUAGCUAGACUUAGGGUUUCUAUUCAGGUAAUCGGGAUUAUAAUCUUAUAGAUGCUUAAUAGUUGUAUGCAUGAUAUUAUAGAGCUCAAGGUCUUAAUAACAAACUGAUCGGUGUUUGCUUUCUAGGUUUCUCUAUUGACCAGAUGAAGUGUGGAUCGAUGAUUCUAGAGGAAUAUCGGUUGAUACACUUGUUUUACCGUCAACCGAUUAUUCUAUAGGAAUAUCGAUCGACGAGCGUUAGUCAAGCUUUACACACGGAUUGAAUAAUGUUCACUAGGAUUCUUAGAUCAGCUUUCGCCUUACUCUACAAUCCUAUCUCAAUUAGGACAGAUUCAGGUGGCAAGUGAUAACUUGAGUCUACAACUCCUACGUCAAGUUCUAGAUAGUUAAACUAGAAACAUGCAUUAAUGACAAUCCUAAUGAUGAAUAUCAAAACUAGCAAUCUAUAGUUGGGGCUAAUCCCUCACAACAUAUUUAAACCCUAAACCUAAGAAUAGAACUACUCAGACUUAGCUAAGCAAUUCAUAACAUCAAUUAGGUAUAAAAACUACAUAGAUAGAUAGAAAAAUAGAUAAUAAUAGAGUUUCACUCACAAAUCUCUUUCGAUCUUCUCUCCAACUCUACUAAAAUCCCAGAAAACCUUUGCUGUAAAAAUAUGAAAACAAAAAAGCACACUUUGCCUCUAACAUGUUGUUAAGCUAUAAAUAUUAGGUUAAAACUCGUCAGGGUAAUCUUGUAAAUUGGUGAAGUCUUGGGCUCUAAGUCGGCUUGGACCAAACGGACUUCUGCACGGUUCGCUGCCGAUCAAUAUCACAGGGUGUGCAUCAAUCAAUUAUUUAUUCUAAAUGUCGACCGCUAGUCUUGCUCGAUGGUCAGCUCGGAUCCUUUCUCCUUUUAUCUCCAAAAUGCUCUAAAAUCAUCACUUUCUUCCGAAACAAUCCUGAACCUAUAAAUAUACUAAAAAGACUCUAGAAUAUAGUAAUUAGUUUAUUAAAACAUUUAUAAACCAUGGCUAAAAGUGGGUAAAAUCCAAGGUCUAUCAUCCUGCGAAUGCGACUUUCACUUUACCAGCACACUACUAUCCGCGCUUUGAGGUUUCUACACAGCCUCAGACAGCGAUUGAUUACCACUACGGUGAUACGAUCAGCAGACAAGGCAAUUAUUCUAUUGGCAGUUGGGCAGAUGACAGCCUUUAUGAGAGCUUCGCAGUAGACACUGAACUACCGGAGACAAGAGCUGAUGAGUAUGACGCGGACUACCAAAGAGAGAAGAACAUUGAGUAUCAUGGUCUUGCCAUGGAUGAUAGAGGACUUCUCCAAACAUGGUCUGCAGAUGUGAUGUCAACAUCGAUUGACAGCAACAUCAAGCUAUCGAUUGACGAUCAUCGAAAACCAAAUAUUGAGGUACAAGUUAAAGAUAAUACUGAUUAGGAUCUAAUUCUGGAUGAAUUGGGUAUUUUUUCAGAGAUUCAGCAGGACGAGCACGAGGAAUGGAUGGGAGUAUCCUCAACGUCUCAAAGGAAGAUUUCACAGAACUUUUUGCCAUGCAUAAAUCCAACCUCUUUAGCCAAUCGCAUAAUGAAACUGCUAUUCAACCAUCGAUCGAUAGGACACCCUUGUCGUCGAUCGACGGUUUACUCGCGAAUGGACAAAGAGUUUAUGAUCAGAAUGGCUAGAGAAGGUUUCAAUGGGAACCAAAGGAUGAGUAUGGUGUUUACAGAUAUGAUCAUGGAUAUGCACGAGCUGUAGGCGGUAGCGCCAUACUUGUGUCGAAAGAGGAUAUCCGACCUAUUCUGGAAAGAGCUACACUGCACGAGCGCUCUUAUAUCUGUCUUCCAGAACAUGCAGAAGGGUACACUAUGUCAGUGCCAGAUAAAGACAGCUACAACAAAGUAGAGAUCAAUGAAUUAGUAGAAUGGAUCUACAAAGUUAUCAGAACUUCAGAUGAUUAUCAUUCGAAGAGGCUUGAUGAUGUCUACUACCCGUUCGAGAACAAUAUCAGUUGGUUGACCACACGGAGGGAUGAGAUGAAGCAAAACCUAGCUAUGCUUCAGAAACAACAUGGAGUCGGCACAAGAAUAUCAACAUUGAUCGACGAUAGCAUCCAAACAUCGAUCAAUGCCCGAUUCACAUCAUUCAAAGAUAGGCUACAAUCAUUCACCUAUCGUCUUGAUGGUGUUUGAUACCCACUCCGUGAUAGUGUGGAUGAAUUUAUUUCACGCCUGGACGCUUUGCAACAGGAAAUGGAUACAAUUCAGAGACAAAUCGAUUCUCAAGCAGAAUUGUCACCAUCGAUCGACAUAAGGACUCGACCAUCGAUCGACGGCGACUAUGCAGCGCGACGAAGCAAGUUGGUUACCGAAAAGUCACUACAAGAUAAGCUUAAUGAGAUCACUUUCUCUCAAGACUUGCUGAAAGAAGAUGUCUACUAGUAGCUGAAGGACAUCUCAAAAACAACAUAUGCCAGACUUGGAAUGCAACAGCGCAACAUUGGGAAUCUUCACGAUAGGAUGCAUGCAAGUGAGAUUGCAAGUGAGGUUGCAAGUGAGGUUGCUAGAGAAAAAUUGAAGAAUCAGUGGACCAGAGGAGAUAAGGCCAUAAGAAGCUUCAUUGGCAAUUGGUUCCAGAUGAGCCAAGAUGAAGUGGACACUUGCAUACAAACAAGUGGUCACUUUGAUCGUUACUAGCUCAAACAACCUCCAAAGUCAAGCUAAAUGACUAUAACAAAGUGUUGAGUGGGAGGCAAUCCACUAUUAGGUAAUUCCUUUUAGUUUUAUUAUUUACAUAUUAUUUAUUUUGGUUUUUACUUUAUUGCAGGUCUAAGAAAAAUAUAGAAAAACCAAAAAGAGAACCAAGGAGAGAUUACUUGUCAUCGACUGAUGAGACAAGGUCGACAUCGAUCGACAGUACAUCACCAACACCGAUCGAUAGACACAAUCUCAUGUCGAUCGACAGCGACAUCAGCGAUCAGGUAUAUCGUUAUCCUUGUUACAUUCAGUACUUAUGAUUUAUAUUCUCACCAAACUCUGAAUAGAUAUACACUGGGGACAGUGUAAUUUAAGUCUGGGGGAGGUUUACUAAUAUUAUUUAUUUAUGAGUUUUUAAAUUUUUUCAUAAAGUUUUAUUGAGUCAAGAAAGAGACAAUGGACUUCUACAAUUUUCCUUACUCAUCUAACCACUCUUUAGCACCUUUCUUAGAUUUAUUGACUGCAUAAUGUACUAUAGAUGCUAAAUUGGAUCAGCAUGCCGGUUAGUUACACUUGCUGAGAAUGUUUGCAAGAACCAAAGCUGACCUCCAACCUAAUUGAGCUUAACUUGCUUGUCUUGGGGCCUUGUAUAUAUUGGAUCGGAAUCCUCCUGCAAGUCUGGAAGGUAUUAGAUUUAGUGUCACUGAUUUUCCUUCCACCUCUCUUUGGCAUCCAUAUGUAUUUAUAAAAGAUUGAGAUGAUUACCUAAGAUGCAGAGGGGUAGGUACAUUACUUAUGACCCCAAUAUUCUAAUUCAAAGGAAUGAUAACAUAAUGUUUGGAAGCGAAGUGUAGAUACAUUAUCGAUGACCCCACUAUCCGCCUACAACUUUGUCAAAAAAAAAUUCAGAUUCAGAGAAGCGAGAUGAGAGAAAGGAAAUAAGAAAAGGUUACCUACAAAUCCAGAUACUUGCUUGAGUUGAUUCCAUGUGUUCACUGAUCGAUACUCCCAAGGUAAAGCCUACACUUUUUUAUUUACAUGCACUAAAUGAAGUGAGUAAAGGGGUUAGUCAGACAUGAUUAGUUAAGUUGCAGGAUGAAUGAAAUUGGUUGCUAAGCAAGGAUAUUUCAUAGAAAGUGCUCCUAAGUUAAGAUUGAUUUGAUGUGGUUGGAAUACUGUUGAGGUGAUGAUAGUAAGUUCUUAAAUUAUGUGAGUCUCUAUUGUUUCAAAAACACCUUUCAGAGAGACUGCUCAUUGUUUUUGCUUGAGGACAAACAAAAGAGUAAGUCUGAGGGUGUUGAUGUACCAUGGAUUUUACCCAUUUUUAGCCAUGGUAUAUAUGUGUUUUUAGAUACCUUAUAGUUGUUUUGGAGUCUUUUUAGUAUGAUUUCAGGUUUUGGAGGAAAGUGGUGAUUUUGGUGCAUUUUGGCGAGAAACUGACAAAGGCUCGAAGUUGACCAUCGAUCGAUACACACCCUGUAGUGUUGAUCGAUCGACACACACCCUGUAGUGUCGAUCGGCGGCGAAGCGCGCAGAAGCCAGAUUAGGUUCCAGUCGACUUAAAGACCAAGUCCCAAAGGAAUUACAAGAUUACCGUGACGAGUUUUAACCUAAUAUUCAUGUGCUCGGCCAUUGUUCUAGGCAACAUACACUUUCAUUCUUUUCUACUUUUCAUACAGCAAAAUACGUAGAGUCUUAGUUUGGAGAGAAGAUCCAAGAACUCCUUCAGAGCUUUGUGAUUGGAACUCCAAUUUCUUUACUCUAUUAUAUUUACGCAAUUUACUUAUUCUAUUGUUAUGAAUUGCUUAGACAUGUCUGAGUAGUUCACCUUGUUAGAUUUAGGGUUCAGAUAUUUAUGAGGGAUUAGCCCAAAAUAUAGAAUUGCUAAGUGUCAAGAUAUUAAUCAACUCAAUUGUUCUUAAUGCCUCUGUUCUAGAAUAGCUAACUAGGAAUUUGCCUAUAGACAUUAGGGGGCAUUCGGAAGUUUGGUUCUUUGUCUGAAAUAGUUUAGGUUGUGCUAGGAUUUCUAGAAACAAGUGGAAGCUGAUUUAGUUAUCCUAGUGAACACGUUCAAACCCGUUCGUAACGCUCCCUGGAAGGAACGUCGAUCGACAACUCGUUAGUUGUAUCGAUCGACAUGCUGAAAGGUUUAUCAAUCGACACCCCGUUGUUGGAAUUGAUCGACACUUUCUCAGAACCAACAAGCAGCACCUGAUUUUCUAGAUCCUGCGAUAGAUAGUCUAAAUAUACGAAAGUUGAUCGACUAUUCUUAUUUGUUUGAGUUCUAGAAUAUCCAUUUUAUGCUUAGUAUUAUAUAUCUCUUUAAUUCUGAUUGUCUGAAUAGAAACCCUAAGGGUCUAACUGGUGACCAUUAUAUGAACAUUAGGAGUACGUAGGGGAAACAAGAAGAGGAAUAAAAUUAUAGACAAAAAAGAAGAUAUUCCUUAUCAAUUUUGGGGAGGAACAAAUUUGUUCUACAUUCCUCUAGAAUAAAAAAAAUGAGAAGGAAUGAAAAAAAAAACAACUAUUCCUUGUAAAUGGUAAAAUAAAAAAGGAAUAAUAAGGAAUGCAUUAUUCCAUUUCAUUCCUUGGUUACCAGUUAGACCUUAAGUCUAAUGCUUUUCAUAUCUGUCUUAAAACCCAAUCAACCAAUCCAUCAAACAAUUGUUUACUCCUGCUAAUUUACAUUUAAAACCAUUCCUCCUAGCUUAACUACAUAACUAGAUAGAUCUAUUGUGUGUCUUAUCUUCCUGUGAAUUCGAUCUCUAAGAACUACAAUUCAACCUAUUAUUUGAGAGAGUAAAUCUCUCUUUAGGAUAAUUUGAGUGAUAUCAGCUGGUCGGGAUAAGCCAAGCUCGCCAUAUGGCGAGCUGGUCGGGACAGUCCGAGCUCGCCAUAUGGCGAGCUGGUCGGGACAGUCUGAGCUCACCAUAUGGCGAGCUGGUCGGGACAGUUCGAGCUCGCCAUAUGGCGAGCUGGUCGGGACAGUCCGAGCUCCCCAUAAGGCGAGCUGGUCGGGACAGGCCGAGCUCGCCAUAUGGCGAGCUGGUCGGGACAGUCCGAGCUUUGGCCUUCUUCGGGUGGUUCGGACGGUUGGGAAGCGUUGGUAAGCCCUUUUCCCGUUUAGUUGUUUGUUUCCCAAGAGUUUUUUUGUCGAAGAGAUUGGAUCUUCCAAUUCGAGAACUUGUCGUAUAACUUCUUCUAAAAUUAUACGAGACUUUUUGUUCCGAGAAAUAUUUUCCAGAGACUUUCAGACACUGAUUCCGUCGUGACUGAUUUUGACCCCUAAUGUGGAAGACUUUGAAUGAUAAUUUAUUUAGGGGCAUAGACAAGGAUCUCAUAGAACUAGUAAGACAUGCGGAUAGCGAAUAUCAAAAUUGUUUAAUAUAAAUGAAACAAUACCUUCAUCUCCACAAGAACAUUUUAAUGAGGAACUACAAGCGUUAACAGUACCCCAAUGAAGGAUUCUCCUCACCCCCCCCCCCCACCUCCCCCACCCCCCAUUGGAGGUGCUCUAAGCUAAUGUAACAUCUUUAUGGUGGAUGGCUAUUGAAUCUCUACAACUCAUUAAGUGGAUGCAGAUGGAUUUGGAUGAAUAGCUUGAGUAGAUUCAACUUAUGGCAAUGUGAAACUUAAGAUGUUGAGAGGCUGCUUUGCAUACAUAAUUAAAAGCACUGUAAUAGGCUAUGGAAAGCAUAAUCGAACAUUCGACAUGUUAGAACUUUAGAACAUACUGCAAGGAUCUGAUCGUAAUGAUAAAUGAGCCUCAUGCAUGGUUAUGUUUAGCAACAUAAUUGGAUGCGAUAAAAACUCUUCAGCUAUGCUUCUCGACUUUCAAGAUUUCUUAUAUCACGUGAGCGCAAAAUGAAAUUUAUGAUUUGUUAGCAAAAAUUACAAGGUCUUUGGUAGAAAUCUUUGUUUUAUUCAUCGUUAUAUUUCGAUCUGGGUGAUCUCCUUAAUUUGAGUAAUGGAACAUUUUUUUAUGGUCAAAAAGAAAAAAAAAUUCCUCAUAUCAUUAUUGAUUUGUACCGGAACAUAUUUUUUAUUGGGUUACAACUGGAACAGAAUAUUUAGGAGUCCGGAACAAUAUAAACUGAACCAUUACUGAAAAAGAUAACGUCGUCAUGGAAGCUUAUGCAUAUUUAAAAUGUUUUGGCAACCAUUUAGGACAUUUCUAAACAGACACUAAAUUUGGUGUUGAAAUUAUAUCAAAUUUAGUAUUUUAAUAUUAUAUUUUUUUUAUUAUCUCCAACCAUAACACUAAAUAUUACACCAAAUAUAAGAUUAUAUAUUAUUUGAUGUUUUCAAUUUUAAUAAAUUUUAUACUUCUAUUAUUUAUAAUUGAUAUAUAAUUAUUUUAUCAUAUUUAGAUGUUAUGUUGGUUAAUUUUUUAAAAUUUUAUGUUGAUAAUUUUGAUUUAGCAAUAUUAUACUUUUAUGUAUUUAUUUUAUAUAAAAUAUUAUGUUAAAAAUUACAAACUAUUAACUAUGAAAUGUACAUAACAAAAUAAUGUGUUUAUUUUAUGUUUUGAGUGUUUAUUUCCAAUUUAAUAUGCAUUUUAACCUUAUCCAGCUUAUAUUAUUAAUUUCUAAAUUUUAUAAAAUAUUAAUAUAAUUUUAUAUUAUUAAAAAUAAAAUAGAAAAGUUUUAUGAUAUUUCAGUUUUUAUAAUAUAAAGUAAAUGAUGAUAAUAAUUUAAUGAUUCUUUACUUAAAAAAAUUAACUAUGUAAAAAUAAUUUUAAAAUAUAAAUAAUACAAUAUAUUUAUGUCUAUUUACAAAUUUGAACUAAUUAAUAAUAAUAAUUGAGCUAUACUAUUAAAUGAAACAUAAUAAAAAUAUGCAUAUUAAAUAGUUGGUGUGAUGAAUAGUAUUAUUUAGUGGAAUGAUGUAAUUUAUAAAGUUUUAUUAUUAUACAUAAAAGUACAUCAAAUUUGGUAUUUGAGUGUUUUAUUGGAGUUGACCUUAACGACAGCUAGAAAGGCUCAAGGCCCCAUGAUUUCAGAAUAUUGCAUUGUAUUUUAUUAUUUAGUUUGUUUUUCUUCCCACGAUAUAUUUCAAUGAGUGGAAAAUAGUUUGUUUGAAUUGGUUCAAAAGCGUGUUACAAAAAAAAAAAGAGAAGAAUUGGUUCGAAGCAACUACGAAGGACACGAACAUGUCUUUUGAAGAAAAGAAUAUAAUGUAGAUAAUGUGUGCCGCGUUGAAUUGCUCGCCCACUUGGCUACUCUCGCUCAUCAUUAUAUUGCGUGGCAUAUUUGACCAUGUAUAUAUUUUUAUUUUGAUUAUUUGACUCUGUAUCGAAAAUAGAAAUCAUAAGAAUACAUAUAUGUAAUGCAAAGUCAUGGUAUUAUCAUUUAUACUCACUUUGGUUGUUGCAAACUUCCUAAGUACAUAGUUUGGAGAAAGUUAUAUAUAUUUAGCAUUUCAUCAAAAACUUGUAGUCCAUUAUUCUCCACCGGAAAACGUUAUGGGUUUCGAUACGGAAUCCCCGGACCGAAUUACACAAGAAGGAGAAGAAGCUAAUGUCGGAGUUGAGAAUCAACCAAAAGCAGCACCAAAUUUAACAGCUCUUGAUCAGCCACAAACUAUCAAGACACGAAACUGGUGGAUUUGGAUCUUUGUCUCUUCGGGUUUGGUCGUAACAGGACGGGUUUUCUCCACCCUUCUUCUAAACUUCUACUUUGUUCAAACAGGACGAGAUGUUUGUGACGACCCAAAACAAUUUAAAGGCACAUGGCUUCAGUCUAUGGUCCAAAACGCUGCGUUUCCAUUUACAGCCUUUUUUGCCUUUUUAUGGCGCUCUUUAUCUUCUAACCAUAGAGAAACUAUCACUUCUUCUGCUUCUUCUUUUGGCAAACUCUUUCUUCUUUACAUCUCUCUCGGGGUCCUCUUUGCUGCUUAUAGCCAACUUUAUGCAAUUGGAAGAACACACUGUAUCUUCUUCUUUUGGAUCUUUACAACACAAUUGAUCUUCACUUCCAUGUUUACAGCAAUCAUCAACAAACACAAGUUCAACCGUUGGAUCAUAUUAUCAGUUAUACUUUCUGGAGUUGCCACAGGCAUCACAUCUUCAGAAGAUGCCUAUAAUCCCUGCGAAGGCGAGGGCUACAAAAUGAGUUACGGUGCGUGGUGUGGCUUCUUUGGCACGGUAGCCUUCUCUUUAUCUCUAUGCAUCAUGCAAUUAGGGUUCGAAAAGGUCAUACCGAAGACAGAGAGUAAAGUUUCCUCGGUGAUGUUGAUGCAAACAUAUGCUUCUAUGAUUGCAACGUUGAUAUGUUUGGUUGGACUAUUUGUCAGCGGUGAAUUCAGAGACAUCAAAGAAGAUUUCGAGACAUUUAAGAAAGGGAAACCACUUUACGUUUUGACUCUAACUGGAUUAUCACUUGCCUGGCAAGUAAUGUCUAUAGGGCUUGUGGGUCUUGUGUGUUUGGUUUCUACUCUUUUCUCUAAUGUUGUCAGCUUCUGUGCAACCCCAUUAGCAAACAUUCUCGUUGUGGUGGCGUUUCGGUUUAUGGAUGAUGACAUUGAAUGGUUUAAGGGAGGAGCUUUGUUAGCUGGGAUACUUGGUUUUGCAUCUUACGCCUAUUCCUUGUACAAGACUGUUAAGAAAAGGGCAAGCCAAAGUGAAACACUGAGAGUAUGAUCUAUGUAUGUUGUAUAUGUAUUGUGUUCUGCUCUUUAGUUGUCUAAAUUGGAUUUUUUUUUAUUUGUCAGUGUUUAGCUAUAUUGGAUUGAAAAUGUUGAUCUUAUACUAUUUGGAAAUGUUAGUAUGAGUAAAAUAAAAUUAGUUUAAAUUCACAAAUCUUUUCAUGCCAAACGUUUCUACCAAUAAUCCCGGCAAGAACAAGUAACAACUCUAAAAUGAUGAAACCUCUUGUUAUCUCUUACAAUGAGAUCUAUUUUUAACAUUUAAUUAGAUCGGGUAAUUUUUCAAAACCUUUUGAAUCAAGUAGUACAAUGAUUCAAAAGGUUCUAACAAUACAAAAAUAUUUUCGCACUUAGGCGCACAUCGUGCUAAGAAAGAUAAGAAAAUUUUAGGGUAGCAAACAUUCUCUAGUAUUUCUAUCUUCAAUGCUGGAUAAUAUCUUCAUGAAGUUGUGGCAACCUCCACAUAUCCUAAAAUUCUUCAUCACUCUAAACGUCGUCCCAGGAGGACUCGUGUUUAUAAGCCCAAAAGCAAUAGCUAACCGUUUGCUGUGAUUCAUCAAUGCUUUCUCUUUAGCUUCUUCAUCGAUGUCAUGAAGAACAUAUCUCUUCUCACCAUCCCCAUAGUGUAUGAGACAAAUGUAUGCAUGAGCGAGAGCCCUUCCACACGGGACUCUCGGAUCACUAUGGCCGACUUUCGUCUCUGUUCGACCGAAAAUAUCCCCUUUUAGUUGGGAAUUAUCAAAAAAAUCAGCAAAUGUUACGAAAUUCAUAUUAACUGCAUUGAGUAUAAAUUCAAGGCAUAACAAUGGGUGGCAAAGUAGCUUUGCUACCUAUUCCAUUAGGAACGGCUGAUUUUUAUAUCCGAAGCAAGUUUUCAAGAAACAUAGUCUUCGUCUCUGGAGCAUAGCCUGCGUUUCUCACUUCUUUUCCUAAUGAUUCCAGCUUUGCUAUGGCCUUGCUUCUAUCCAUAAUAGAUAGUCUUCUUGCUAUUACUCUGCUACCAUUGUGAGUAGAAUACUUAACUUGGGUCUCAAUUUCCUCAUUCUUGUAGUAAACCCUCUUGAGAUCAGAGCUUAUCUUUUUCUGGGGUUCAACUUCACCAUCUCCUGUAAUUGCCUUUGCUCCACAGGUGAUGAUUCUGUGAAAGGAUAAGGCUUCUCUCUUAAAGGUGAUUGCUUUGGAGAAGGAGCAGAAACUCAUGGAGAAAGCAUACUCCAGAGACAUCGUUUGUGGUCAAUCCAAAAAAGGGAUAAGUUUUCUUUGGAGGGAAGUUUACGAUGUGGAGAGAGAAAUAGAAAGACUGACCAAUCUCCCACAUAUAUAACUACAGGAAGCCGACAACAUCACAAACAGCCAAACAAAACCUAUGUUUUCACUAUUAACACCGUGUCCACAUAAAGUUCCCUUCACAACCAGAAAAUGAAAUAAAAACUUUCUAAUCAAGAACCAUGGACCAUGGUACCCUUGUAAAUGUUUGCUUUUCGAUUUAACAUUGUAAAACUUCAGAGAACUCCUUGAGUAACAACUAUCGAGCUAUAUCUAUCAACUACAAAUUGUCGAAGCUUAUCAUAGCAUAUGUCCUCUCUUACCUGUUUUCCAUCCUCAAUGAAAUCCUUAAUGCUUCCAACAUGAAGGUUUCCUAUUCAACAUCGUACUAUAGGGUUGAAAGAUGUUAAAUCUGUUUUGACAUUAAGAGCUAGACCAUAGGUUGUCAUCAAUAUCGACGCACAAAUAACCUAUAGCCGCUACUUUUUGGUCGCCUAUAUAUAUAAUUUUUACCACACAAAUCACUGCAACUAUCAGAUCAUACAUAACUAAGAAGGGAAAAUUGCCAAAUGUGACUCACAACUUGAUUUAUAAUGCAAAAGUAAACCCAAACUUGAAUCAAAUGCAAAAUUAACCUAAAAGGCUAUUGAAAUUACAACCAGCCCCUUGUGAACAAACAAAAAAACCGAAUUUUUUUUACGUUUCUAACCCCCCGUAAGUCGUCUGGACUAGUUCUACUUAGAAAUAAUUUAAAAAUUUUGUAAAAAAUAUUUUGAUAAGUGAAAAAUUGAAAUCAUGUAAUUAACAUAUGUUUUAAGAGAUAUAAAUUAAGAUAUAACAAAAGUUAAUUGUUUUCAAGAUAGACGAGUGAAAGUAGUGAGUCAUGAUAUUCUUUGGGUUAGGUUUUGCCAACAUAUGUUGUAGUAUUGUAUGUGUUUUUAGGGUUAGAUUUUGGAAUGCAUAAAUGGUUUUUUGAAAACUUUAAAAUUUACCUAAGUGUGUUUAUUUCUGUGUAUAGUAAACAAUAUUUAAGUAUAAUUACGGCUUUAUAACGUGGUUAGUUAGUUAAUUUAGUCAAUUUAGUUUGGGACCAAAAUUCAAGAGAGAGCCCAUUAAUUUCCUGAUAUAGAAGUCACAAACCACUUGACUAUCUAAAUUUCAUAAAAGAAGACAUUAUUAAAAACCCAAUUCACUUACGGGAUAAGAAGCCGGUUGAGAGCCCACAACCAACAGAGACAAAACCAUAAGACUCGCUUAACCACCGCUCUAAGGAACGCACCGAUUCAGUCCGAGAACCAAAAAAGGUGUUUCGCUCGCUUCACGCGCCUACACAAAGAAGGAAAGGCGGAUAGAUCUGAGCCAUCAGUGUAGGAUAUGGGGAGUCACUGGUGCAUCAUCACAUCUUCAGAUCUAAACCACACACACUUACAUCGAACAGCAGCUCAAACGGCGCAACGUUGCUUCAUCUCACAACAAGGAGACCGAGGACCAUACAACUUAACAAAACACUAGGAAAGGCUCAACGACGUGGCUCGAGAACCAACGGACACUGGCCGCGCAAAAAAAAUAGAUCCAAGGAAAAAAACUCUAUAACGAGCAUCAUCCGAUAACCUUUUCAUGCAUCGGCCGAUACUAUUCGAACAUGAGCGUCGCUCGACAUCAUCCUAUUGUGAUACUCAUCGCAGAAACAGGUUAUCCGAUUCCUUUGCACAGUUUUUUAUUAUGAUUUAUUUUCUUCUCCGAUAUUGGGCUGAAUAACUUUGGACACAAUGGUGUUUAAGUCUAGGGAGGUGUUUACUAAUAUUUAGUUUUGUUAUUGAAUUUUUUUUCUUU